RNAcentral lists this ribosomal RNA (460 nucleotides) under uncultured bacterium. Its description in RNAcentral is "partial 16S ribosomal RNA". It matches the Rfam family "Bacterial small subunit ribosomal RNA", at positions 338 to 795 of the family's 1533-position model. The record is from RNAcentral.
CCUACGGGUGGCUGCAGUGAGGAAUAUUGGUCAAUGGCCGGAAGCCUGAACCAGCCAUGCCGCGUGAAGGUCAGUGCCCUAUGGGCGUUAAACUUCUUUUGUGCGGGAGCAAUAAUGGUCACGUGUGGCCAGACGAGAGUACCGCACGAAUAAGCAUCGGCUAACUCCGUGCCAGCAGCCGCGGUAAUACGGGGGAUGCAAGCGUUAUCCGGGUUUAUUGGGUUUAAAGGGUGCGUAGGCUGGGAGGUAAGUCAGCGGUGAAAUGCCCCCGCUCAACGGGGUGAGGUGCCGUUGAAACUGGCGUGCUGGAAUGCGGAUGCCGUGGGAGGAAUGUGUGGUGUAGCGGUGAAAUGCAUAGAUAUCACACAGAACACCGAUUGCGAAGGCAUCUCACGAAUCCGCGAUUGACGCUGAUGCACGAAAGCGUGGGUAUCAAACAGGAUUAGAUACCCUAGUAGUC